AGCGAACGCUGGCGGCAGGCUUAACACAUGCAAGUCGAACGGAUCCUCCGGGAUUAGUGGCGGACGGGUGAGUAACACGUGGGAACGUGCCUUUUGGUUCGGAACAACACAGGGAAACUUGUGCUAAUACCGGAUGUGCCCUUCGGGGGAAAGGAUUUAUCGCCAUUAGAGCGGCCCGCGUCUGAUUAGCUUGUUGGUGAGGUAAAGGCUCACCAAGGCUACGAUCAGUAGCUGGUCUGAGAGGAUGAUCAGCCACACUGGGACUGAGACACGGCCCAGACUCCUACGGGAGGCAGCAGUGGGGAAGUCUUGCGCAAUGGGGGAAACCCUGACGCAGCCAUGCCGCGUGAAUGAUGAAGGUCUUAGGAUUGUAAAAUUCUUUUCAGCGGGGACGAUAAUGACGGUACCCGCAGAAGAAGCUCCGGCUAACUUCGUGCCAGCAGCCGCCGUAA
Molecule: ribosomal RNA, 452 nt
Filed under: uncultured bacterium
Lineage: Bacteria
Description: bacterial SSU rRNA
Rfam family: Bacterial small subunit ribosomal RNA
Source: RNAcentral